UGACUCCUACGGGAGGCAGCAGUAGGGAAUCUUCCACAAUGGGCGAAAGCCUGAUGGAGCAACGCCGCGUGGGUGAAGAAGGUCUUCGGAUUGUAAAACCCUGUUGUUAGAGAAGAAAGUGCGUGAGAGUAACUGUUCGCGCUUCGACGGCAUCUAACCAGAAAGCCACGGCUAACUACGUGCCAGCAGCCGCGGUAAUUCGUAGGGGGCAAGCGUUAUCCGGAUUUAUUGGGCGUAAAGGGAACGCA
RNAcentral lists this ribosomal RNA (248 nucleotides) under uncultured bacterium. Its description in RNAcentral is "partial 16S ribosomal RNA". It matches the Rfam family "Bacterial small subunit ribosomal RNA", at positions 333 to 573 of the family's 1533-position model. The record is from RNAcentral.